UUUAUCGUAAAAACAGAAUACGAACACUGUCAUAUUAAAUCUUGCAUUGAAUACAAAGUAUUUAGUGACCUUAUUUUUGUACUAUGUUACCAGGGUUUGACAUAGUUUUUUUUCUCUAUUUCUGUUAAAGAAUGUGCUUUGAAUCCACUGUUAUUAUUAGCAUAAGAAAAUAUUCUACGAAUUAUGUUUCAUUUUGGAUUUAUUCCAAAUAAAAUGAAUAUAUUAUAUUACGAGAAUAACAACUCUCCAGCUGGUGAAGUGCGUUACAAAUAUAGAGAAUCACAAUAUGAGGAGUUUUGUGUGUUUCAUCUUUCUAAUAAAACUAGUAACUGCAUUUAAUGAAACUACUGCAGAGAUUUGCAUGGACGAUGAUGCACUGCCGCAGCCAUUGGUAGAGAAGAGAGGGAAAGAUACAGAUUUUCGCUUCAUCGGAUUCUUUGAUGUUCACGAAGG
Parasteatoda tepidariorum (common house spider) is the source of this 453-nucleotide non-coding RNA. Lineage: Eukaryota; Metazoa; Arthropoda; Arachnida; Araneae; Theridiidae. The record is from RefSeq and is a predicted model, not a curated record.